GCAGUCGUCAGAAUGUAGAAUGGGAGUGGAAAUUCUCAGAACAAUUGUUAUCCUGAGACAGUGGUACCACAUACGGAAGAGCAGAGCUGAGAACCCGGGUGGGCACACUGUUCAAGGCCAGGGAAAGAAAGCAGACCAACUCAAAAGUCCGAAGUGUGCUAGAAAUGGAACCAAGAGAAUGGUGCAGUGUAAUCUCCGAACGAAGGAAACUCCAGGGGAACAGAGGCUUUCAGCUUUCAGGAAUAAUGUAAAAAAUAAAAAUUGGGCCGGGCACGGUGGCUCACGCCUGUAAUCCCAGCACUUUGGGAGGCCGAGGCGGGCGGAUCAGGAGGUCAGGAGAUCGAGACCAUCCUGGCUAACAAGGUGAAACCCCGUCUCUACUAAAAAUACAAAAAAUUAGCCGGGCGUGGUGGUGGGCGCCUGUAGUCCCAGCUACUCGGGAGGCUGAGGCAGGAGAAUGGCGUGAACCCGGGAGGCGGAGCUUGCAGUGAGCCGAGAUCGCGCCACUGCAAUCCAGCCUGGGCGACAGAGCGAGACUCCGCCAAAAAAAAAAAAUAAUAAAAAUAAAAAUAAAUACAAAAUAAAUAAAAAUAAAAAUUGGCCGUUGUUUCUGGUCACGAGUGACUUCAGGAUGACAGGUUUCAAUAGAGCAGUGGUUGUGACCUUCAGAACAUUUGGCAAUAUUUGGAGAUGUUUUCGACUGGCACGACCUGGAUGUGGAAGAAGAGCUACCGUCCUGCAGUAGGUAGAGUCCAGGGAUGCUGUUAAUCAUCUUUUCAUGCACAGUCCGGCCCCAACAACAAAGAAUUACCAGAAUAAGAAACUGCAGCAGAGUGAGAGGAUCCAGGUUCGUUCUGAAUGAGUUGGACAGAGAAUUUGAGUUUAGGGACAAGAUAAACUAAUAAAGAAUACUCUCUCAAGACCAAGCAAACAACCUAAGAACUAGAAGCAAUUUAUGUCUAGGAGCAAACAGUGUAUAGGAAAAACCAGAAUAAUGUACUACAAUAUUGAAAAACUAAAGCAGAAAAUUGCUUAUAAAAUAUUCUUAUCUAAAUGGCAUUGUCAUAUGUGGAUUUGGGAUGAGUAGGACAAUAAAAGAACUUAUGCUGUAAAGAUGAGAUAUGGGGCAAUCUAUGCAAGUUCAACAUAAAUCUUCAGCAAAAGAAAUACAGAUAAUAUAAACUUGGAUUAUUAAUGGCAUCAGAAAAAUUAUGGCAAAAGGAAGAGAUAACUUUCAUCAAGAAAGAAUAAAAUGCUACCCAAAGUUCAGCCUUUCAUAGGUCAGAAAUAAAGAAUAUAGAAGGAGAGUUAUAAAGAUAUAGAAAAUAAUCCAAUCACAGGCAAGAUCCAGACAUAUGUGGUACCUUGGAGUCAGCUAGGUUUGACACAUUAAUCUAAUAGAGCUGAUUGAAACAGGCCUAUAUUCUGUCC
RNAcentral lists this long non-coding RNA (1431 nucleotides) under Homo sapiens (human). Its description in RNAcentral is "HSALNT0374900". The record is from RNAcentral. Lineage: Eukaryota; Metazoa; Chordata; Mammalia; Primates; Hominidae.